Molecule: non-coding RNA, 152 nt
Filed under: Facklamia hominis
Lineage: Bacteria; Bacillati; Bacillota; Bacilli; Lactobacillales; Aerococcaceae
Also listed under: 1 other name
Description: GlcN6P sequence
Rfam family: glmS glucosamine-6-phosphate activated ribozyme aptamer
About the family: This entry contains a glucosamine-6-phosphate activated ribozyme that is found in the mRNA for GlmS. GlmS is an enzyme that uses fructose-6-phosphate and glutamine to generate glucosamine-6-phosphate.
Source: RNAcentral
AUUUAGGAUCAAGCGCCAGACCUAAUCCUGAUUAGGUGACGAGGAAUGAGCUAAUCGAAGUUUUCGGCGGGUGGCUCAAGGCUAUGCGGUCUAAAGAAAUAAGACAAAUCAAAGCUGUCAGGCUCUGGACAAAACUUAUUUCAAGCAUAUGA